AUGCAGUCGAACGCAAGUUUUUAACUUGAGUGGCGGACGGGUGAGUAACACGUGAGAAUUCACCUUUAGGUGGGGAAUAACUUUUGGAAACGAUAGCUAAUGCCCCAUAGACUCGAAAGAGAAAAAAGAGCAAUCUGUCUAAAGAGAAGCUCGCGGCUGAUUAGCUAGUUGGUAAGGUAAUGGCUUACCAAGGCGACGAUCAGUAGCUGGUUUGAGAGAACGAUCAGCCACACUGGAACUGAGACACGGUCCAGACUCCUACGGGAGGCAGCAGUGGGGAAUUUUCCGCAAUGGGCGAAAGCCUGACGGAGCAAUACCGCGUGAGGGAUGACGGCCUUUGGGUUGUAAACCUCUUUUAUCAAGGAGGAAGUUCUGACGUGUACUUGAUGAAUAAGCAUCGGCUAACUCCGUGCCAGCAGCCGCGGUAAGACGGAGGAUGCAAGUGUUAUCCGGAAUCACUGGGCGUAAAGCGUCUGUAGGUUGUUUAAAAAGUCUGCAGUUAAAGGUUGAAGCUUAACUUCAAAAAUGCCGUAGAAACUUUUAAACUAGAGGAUGGUAGGGGUAGAGGGAAUUUCCAGUGGAGCGGUGAAAUGUGUAGAUAUUGGAAAGACCACCGAUGGCGAAGGCACUCUACUGGGCCAUGACUGACACUGAGAGACGAAAGCUAGGGGAGCAAAUGGGAUUAGAUACCCCAGUAGUCCUAGCCGUAAACGAUGGAUACUAGAUGUUGUGUGUAUUGACCCAUGCAGUAUCGUAGCUAACGCGUUAAGUAUCCCGCCUGGGAAGUAUGCUCGCAAGAGUGAAACUCAAAGGAAUUGACG
This 821-nucleotide ribosomal RNA is filed under the name uncultured bacterium. Its description in RNAcentral is "bacterial SSU rRNA". It matches the Rfam family "Bacterial small subunit ribosomal RNA", at positions 55 to 915 of the family's 1533-position model. The record is from RNAcentral.